GUUCAUGCAGUAUUUGUUAUCAUGUGAAAUCUCAUAAAUGUUAUCUUGUAAUCAUGGUAUGUUCUGAUUCAUUCAUGGAGUCUGUUAAGGAUCUAUCAGUGGGUAGCGAGCCCCCUGACAUAAUGUACCAUAAGAUCUAUCGGUGGGUAGCGAGCCCCCUGACAUAAUGUACCAUAAGUAAAUAACCAAACCGAGAACACUUU
RNAcentral lists this long non-coding RNA (203 nucleotides) under Helianthus annuus (common sunflower). RNAcentral describes it as "sRNA HanXRQr2_Chr03g0105291". The record is from RNAcentral. Lineage: Eukaryota; Viridiplantae; Streptophyta; Magnoliopsida; Asterales; Asteraceae.